Molecule: long non-coding RNA, 933 nt
Filed under: Marmota monax (woodchuck)
Lineage: Eukaryota; Metazoa; Chordata; Mammalia; Rodentia; Sciuridae
Source: RNAcentral
CCGAGACCAUGAAGGUCUGAAUGGACUGUGAUGUUCAGUUCUCUGUUAUGUGUCCUGGAGGUUACAGAGUCCUUCGAGGAAGACCUACAAAGCCUAUGCUGGUAAACUACCAGCUGGGAAGGGAAGGGAAUAAUUUCAAACCCAGGAGUCUAUUCUGCCAUAGGAAGGAGUCCCUGAGGGCCACCAUAGCCUUAAAGGCUGUGGUGGGGUGUUUUCCUCCCUGCAGGUGGGCAAAGAGGUUUGCCGGACAAUCAAUGGUCAAAUCCUCCUGACACCACCAUUGGGUUUAGGACUCCAGGAAGGGGAAACUCACCAAUUGAAGGUGGGUGGUGGAUGGAGUUCUGGCGAUCGAGAAAAUGGGUUCAGGCCAUCCGGUGAGUGGCACUUCCGAAGGAAGAGGGACCCAAAAGUGGGUUUUAACCCUCUCUCGGGUUUCGGCACCACUGAAAGGAAAGUGACCACAACAUUCGGAGCAACCAAAAGAUCUUUAUUGCAGCAGUGCAACAAAGAGAAAAGAAAGAAGGAAAGAAGGAGAGAGAGAGAGAGAGAAAAGAGAAGAGGAGAGAUGAAGAGGGAGAGAGCAAGAGCAAGAGAGAGAGAGCGCGCACAAGAAAGACAAAGAGAGCAAGAGAGAGAGAGCAAGAGAGAGGGGGGCCUGGCAGGAGGGAGUUUUUAUAGCCCAAAUCUAAUGGGGCCUCUGGGUCUGCAAGCUGCCUUGUUGGCCCAAGGGGGGGCUAAGUGUUCAGCCUUGAGUGGGGUUGAAUGUUCAGACUUGAGGCAAACAGGUGAUAAAGGACCAGAUGGGGGGGGGGUUGAGUGCGUGGGCUAUCUUGCAGCCAACAUCUGUUCAGCCUGCCCCUCAGACAACACAGUUCAGCCUGCUCUGCACCCAACAUUAUGAGGAUUAAAUGAGUUCGUACAUAUAAAGUUCUU